Molecule: long non-coding RNA, 532 nt
Organism: Corticium candelabrum
Lineage: Eukaryota; Metazoa; Porifera; Homoscleromorpha; Homosclerophorida; Plakinidae
Exons: 2
Source: RefSeq, a predicted model, not a curated record
CAUGAAUGUAUUCAUAGAUAUACAUACAUGGUAGUCCAUAUAUAGCUAGUCUAGAGUUUUUUUACUAAAUCUUUUGUACUAAAUAGACAACAGUUGGUCACUGUAUCUUCUACUCAGAUCAAAGUUGGGAUCCCACUAUACAUUUCCAUCAGAUUGUAUUGAUUUGCAAGAAUUUCGUCUAGUUGAUAUGUAUUCGAGUGGCUCCAUAGUCGAGGUGAAAGAAAAUUUUUGAUGUCAUUUAGUAAAGUAGACAGCACAUUGAGAGUUCUGAUAGCCACAACAGCAUUUGGGAUGGGUGUUGACAUUCCCAACAUUAGGUGGAUUGUUCAUUGGAGUCCUCCAAGACUCAUCGAAGAUUAUGUCCAAGAGACUGGGCGAACUGGAAGAGAUGGCUUGACAGCAACUGCACUGCUUGUAUAUGGACAUCUGCACAGGACAGUUUCAUCCUCGAUGAAAAAUGAAGACAGUGCAGGAAAAGGAUGUGGUUGUUGUGAUGUUUGUGCACUUAGUUGUGACUGUGGUAACUGCUGUA